UGGAAGUAAAAGUCGUAACAAGGUUUCGUAGGUGAACCUGCGGAAGGAUCAUUACCGAGUGCUACGAGCGAGAGCUCGUUACCUCCCACCCUUUGUGAACAUACCUUUGAUUGCUUUGGCGGCUCUCGCCGCGAGGGGAGGCCCUGAAAAGGGCCCGCCCCCCUCGCGCGCCCUCCGCCAGAGGACCUUCAAACUCCAGUCAGUAAACGUCGACGUCUGAUACACAAGUUAAUAAACUAAAACUUUCAACAACGGAUCUCUUGGUUCUGGCAUCGAUGAAGAACGCAGCGAAAUGCGAUAAGUAAUGUGAAUUGCAGAAUUCAGUGAAUCAUCGAAUCUUUGAACGCACAUUGCGCCCCUUGGCAUUCCGAGGGGCAUGCCUGUUCGAGCGUCAUUACAACCCUCAAGCUCUGCUUGGUAUUGGGCGCCGUCCUCUCUGCGGACGCGCCUCAAAGACCUCGGCGGUGGCUGUCCAGCCCUCAAGCGUAGUAGAAUACACCUCGCUUUGGAGCGGCUGGCGUCGCCCGCCGGACGAACCUUCUGAACUUUUCUCAAGGUUGACCUCGGAUCAGGUAGGGCAUACCCGCUGAACUUAAGCAUAUCAAUAGCCGGAGGAA
RNAcentral lists this ribosomal RNA (617 nucleotides) under Diplodia corticola. RNAcentral's name for it is "eukaryotic LSU rRNA". The stretch from base 241 to 394 matches the Rfam family "5.8S ribosomal RNA". The record is from RNAcentral. Lineage: Eukaryota; Fungi; Ascomycota; Dothideomycetes; Botryosphaeriales; Botryosphaeriaceae.